RNAcentral lists this ribosomal RNA (512 nucleotides) under uncultured bacterium. Its description in RNAcentral is "partial 16S ribosomal RNA". It matches the Rfam family "Bacterial small subunit ribosomal RNA", at positions 29 to 507 of the family's 1533-position model. The record is from RNAcentral.
ACGCACGCUGGCGGCGUGCUUAACCCCUGCCAGUCGAACGAAAAGAGGGAAAGAGCUUGCUCUUUCCGGAAUUGAGUGGCAAACGGGUGAGUAACACGUAAACAACCUGCCUUCAGGAUGGGGACAACAGACGGAAACGACUGCUAAUACCGAAUAAGUUCCAAGAGCCGCAUGGCCCAUGGAAGAAAAGGUGGCCUCUACCUGUAAGCUAUCGCCUGAAGAGGGGUUUGCGUCUGAUUAGCUGGUUGGAGGGGUAACGGCCCACCAAGGCGACGAUCAGUAGCCGGUCUGAGAGGAUGAACGGCCACACUGGAACUGAGACACGGUCCAGACUCCUACGGGAGGCAGCAGUGGGGAAUCUUCCGCAAUGGGCGAAAGCCUGACGGAGCAACGCCGCGUGAGUGAUGACGGCCUUCGGGUUGUAAAACUCUGUGAUCCGGGACGAAAAGGCAGAGUGCGAAGAACAAACUGCAUUGACGGUACCGGAAAAGCAAGCCACGGCUAACUACGUG